This 909-nucleotide long non-coding RNA is filed under the name Rattus norvegicus (Norway rat). Its description in RNAcentral is "long non-coding RNA NONRATT015630". The record is from RNAcentral. Lineage: Eukaryota; Metazoa; Chordata; Mammalia; Rodentia; Muridae.
CACACUUGUACCAGAAUAGGCACACACACUUCAAGAUGAGGGGGGUGUUGCCAGGGAACUCUUCGAGCAGUCACUGCAUUUCCUUAGAGAUUGCCCGGAGCCUUCUAGAAAUCUAUAGGAAAGAAGGAGAGAGCUUUUAGUACCCAUUGAUUUCGCUUUCUACUAAUGCUGAUGACUCUUGAGGGGAAUUCGGGCCUGCCAGUGUAUGUGCUGGCCAAAGGAAUUGCUUUACUAAAAUGUUAAUUAAACAUGAGAUGAGUUUGCCAGAGCCAACUGGCUGCUUUCGCUGCAACAUAGAUCCAUCUGGCAUGGUUUAUCACUUGGUGUUAGCCUUCCACCCUGCUUUAGGAAGUGGGCUGAGACUCUUGUCUAAACUUACCAAAUUAACUCGGGUGACAGUCUCUCGGAAUAUAGCCUCAGCACUGCAGCGUUGAAGAUGUACCCCAUGCCAAAUUGGAGUAUUUAUGAGCUGUGUCCUGAACAACAGCACAGAUAGGCAUGUGCUUCCCCGUGUGGAGAAAAACGAAGCAAAGAGGAUCCCGUAGCUUUGUGUAUGUUCUGAGGAAUGUGACUCAAAUCUACUUCACCCCUAGAACCUCUUUGCCAGACUGUCUUCCCUCUAGAGUUAUUCCCUGUCUUCCUGUUCCCGACUGCUUCCUUCCAGGCGGCAGAAGAAGACAACGGAUCACACCAUGGUGGACCUGAAAGACCUAAAAGGCUACAGUCGGGUUGGAAAGCCUAUCCUAUGUCCUUCCCACCCUGCCGAGGAGCUGAGGCUGUUCUGUGAGCUCUGUGACCGGCCGGUGUGUCGGGACUGUGUAGUUGGGGAGCACCGAGAGCACCCCUACGACUUCACCAGCAACGUCAUCCACAAGCAUGGAGAUUCCGUGCGGGAGCUGCUUCGAGACA